CCUACGGGAGGCUGCAGUGGGGAAUAUUGGGCAAUGGGCGCAAGCCUGACCCAGCAACGCCGCGUGAAGGAAGAAGGCUUUCGGGUUGUAAACUUCUUUUCUCAGGGACGCAGCAAGUGACGGUACCGGAGGAAUAAGCCACGGCUAACUACGUGCCAGCAGCCGCGGUAAUACGAAGGGAGCAAGCGUUACCCGGAUUUACUGGGUGUAAAGGGCGUGUAGGCGGGACUGCAAGUCAGAUGGGAAAACUAUGGGCUCAACCUAUGGCCUGCAUUUGAAACUGUAGUUCUUGAGUGCUGGAGAGGCAGACGGAAUUCCUAGUGUAGCGGUGAAAUGCGUAGAUAUUAGGAGGAACACCAGUGGCGAAGGCGGUCUGCUGGACAGCAACUGACGCUGAGGCGCGAAAGCGUGGGGAGCAAACAGGAUUAGAUACCCGAGUAGUC
This 443-nucleotide ribosomal RNA is filed under the name uncultured bacterium. RNAcentral's name for it is "partial 16S ribosomal RNA". It matches the Rfam family "Bacterial small subunit ribosomal RNA", at positions 338 to 795 of the family's 1533-position model. The record is from RNAcentral.